Molecule: ribosomal RNA, 347 nt
Filed under: uncultured bacterium
Lineage: Bacteria
Description: partial 16S ribosomal RNA
Rfam family: Bacterial small subunit ribosomal RNA
Source: RNAcentral
CCUACGGGAGGCAGCAGUGAGGAAUAUUGGUCAAUGGCCGGAAGGCUGAACCAGCCAUGCCGCGUGAAGGGCAGGGGCCUAGGGGCGUGAAACUUCUUUUGUGCGGGAGCAAAAAUGGGCACGUGGGGCCAGACGAGAGUACCGUACGAAGAAGCAGCGGCGAAAGCCGUGACAGCAGCCGCGGUAAGACGGGGGAUGCAAGCGUUAGCCGGAGUUAGUGGGUUUAAAGGGGGCGUAGGCUGUGAGGUAAGUCAGCGGUGAAAUGCCCCCGCUCCACGGGGUGAAGUGCCAUUGAUACUGCCUUGCUGGACUGCGGCUGCCGUGGGUGGACUGUGUGUUGUAGCGGU